RNAcentral lists this ribosomal RNA (494 nucleotides) under uncultured bacterium. Its description in RNAcentral is "partial 16S ribosomal RNA". It matches the Rfam family "Bacterial small subunit ribosomal RNA", at positions 28 to 507 of the family's 1533-position model. The record is from RNAcentral.
GACGAACGCUGGCUUCGGGCUUAACACAUGCAAGUCGAACGGUGAAUCGCCUUCCUUUAUGGUUGGUGGGGAUGAGUGGCGAACGGUUUAGUAACACGUGAGGAACCUGCCCCCUUCUUCUGGAUAACCGCAUGAAAGUGUGGCUAAUACGGGAUAGUCUCGGUCUGUCUCAUCAUGGGUCUGGGAAAGAUAUUGCUUCGGUGUGGGUUUGGCUCGCGGCGUGUCAGCUUGGUGGUGGUGUGAUGGCCUAGCACGGCGGUGACGUGUAGCCGGCAUGAGAGGGUGGACGGUCAGACUGGGACAGAGGCACGGGACAGACGCCUACGGGAGACAGCAGUGGGGAAUAUUGCACAAUGGGUGGAAGCCUGAUGCAGCGACGGCGCGUGAGGGAUGGAGGCCUUCGGGUUGUGAAAGUCUUUCGCGAGUGAAGCAGGCCUGCAUUGUGUGUGGGUGGGUGGACGGUAGCUGGAUAAGAAGCGCCAGCUAACUACGUG